Molecule: long non-coding RNA, 5042 nt
Organism: Falco peregrinus (peregrine falcon)
Lineage: Eukaryota; Metazoa; Chordata; Aves; Falconiformes; Falconidae
Exons: 4
Source: RefSeq, a predicted model, not a curated record
UCUUAUUUAUAUGACUCUGUUGUAUUAUUUUUUUUUGGGGGGGGAAUGCAUGUUUAUAGCACAUAGUUUUAUAAUACAAUAUGAUCUUGUGACAUCUAAUUAAGUGUUUCAGUAUUUGUUCACAGUAAAUCCAACAAGAAAGCAUAUUUAAAAUCUGGCUUAUUAUUCAAAAUACACUUGUAGAAAUGCUACGCAAAAAAGAAGUUAAAGAUAGAGUUUGUAUUGAGCUUUGACUCUUUAAUGUUAUUAAAUAAGAGCCUACCCUACCUAAAUAACAAUGUUGUCAAAACCUCUGAAUUUUAGAUAUUUUGUCUUCUUAAGACACAAUUUACUGCACUUCUAAAUUUCCUAUACGUGAAUGGAGGCUGUUCUCUAGAGGUAGAAGAGGCAGAAGGUUUUACAGCUUGAGCUGUGAUAACAAAGGAAUUUGAAGGGGCAUAAAAUAUGAUUAUACAAAAAUCUUGGAUUUUAGGUGAUUCAGUAAUGUGAUUUAGCAAACUGUUUUUCUUAGACAACAUGCUCUUGAGUUGCUACACUAUCUGGAAUUAAUUAAUCCAUUCAGUGCUAUAUUUAUGUUCUUCAUUUUCACAUGGUAUUCAAAACUUAAGAAAACAUCUUUGUGCAGAGCAAAGACUGGAACUCUGGUGAAAGUGUAAAACCUGUGUUACGUUACUGUGGGAAUGAAAUUAAGAGAUUCAGACCUAACUUUGCUGAAGAGAACUAGGUGUUUCCGUUUAACUGCUUUAAGAUGAGCACUUUAUGUUCUUGUGUACAGAAAUAUACACACUGAUGUAACUACUUGUACUGCAAGGAUCGUGCAAACGGGAAUGUGAGCAAUUUGCAAAAUACCCUACAAAUGCCUGCUAGCAUUUACGUUGUUAUUAUUAUUAUUACUACCACCACAACCUUCUAGUUACACAUACUGUCUUGAAAUCAUGGUCUGUUAACCAUUUUGAUCCUAUGGAGUAUUUGCAAUCAGAAUUUUUUUAUCAGUCUUAUCUGCUGCCACAGUCUGCAGAGUGGCUGGCCGUGGGGCGCUGGAUGUCCUCAUGAACAGCUGCAGUGUAUAUCUAACGUAGCCUUUACACGCUCCUGAUGGCUUCAUGUAAGGGCCCCAUCCACACCGUUCUGUGGAUCCACGCUGGAGUCCUCUAACUUCCUUUGUGUUUGUAUUAUUGCGUUUUCCAUGUGCCACUGGCUUUCCCCUGCUGCUCCACGCUGGCCUCACCCACCGCCUCUGCAGUGCAGGCCAGGCCUCACGUGUCUCAGUGUCAGUGACCGUAGCAGUGGCCAGAGGAUGCUAUGACAGUGGCCUCAGGAGGGAAGGGUAUCACUGAGACUUACAAAGUGCUCUGAAAAAGUGUGAGAACCUCAGGAGGUAAAUGCUGCCCUGUGGGCUGGUGUGUGUUUCACGGAAGGCAGGACUGCAGCCUGCCAGCAGCACAGGUUGCACAGGUAUAUGGGGAAAAAAGCAUUAGAAACUUUCUAGCCAUGGGAUCACAAAGCCAAUAUAGCAAUAUUACCCCGUAAAAAGCAUUAAAAUAUAGUCAGCUGUAUCAUCCAUGUAUUCUCUGACAUGGCUAUAGCUAAUCAGGUGUAGCUGCGGCUGAAGUGUUUAAGGUGUAUAAUUGUAUGUGCCAAAAGAAAUGGCAAACUGCGCAAUAUUAAAAUUCUAACAUAAAGCCACUAAUUUUAACCAGUAGUGACUCACAGUGAACCUCCAUUAUAUCACAAGAUGUAUCAGUCUGGGUUUGUGCUUAUGUUUUUCACCCUGUUACACUUCUCUAUAUAUGAGUCUGCAGUGGCAGUAAGGGCCCUAAGCGUUUCUUUAUGUUAGAGUGCCCAAUUAAACACAAAUAUUCACUUGAGUAAAAUUCCCCAUAUGCAUUUGGUGGCCCCAUGCCCUCACCUGCAGCCAGGCAGGGAUCACGAUACAGUCACACGUGUGAAAAACAUACCGGAGCCUGUUCUACUACCACUGAACUUAACAGCAAGACUCCCUGUGUCAGUCAGCAUCAUAAAAGAUGGAUUAAUUAAUUUCCUUCCAUUAUAGCCUUCCUCUGAAAGUUGUUGCUGGUUGGUUUUUUUUUUGGUUGGGUGGUUGUUGUUGUUUUUUUUUUUUUUUUUAAUUUAUUUUGUUCUAAAUGUCUAGUAUAGUUGACAGAACAUUGAACAGAAGAUGCUUUCUGUUCAUCAGUACAAUGACCUGAGCUAAACACACAUUGGAACCAGCAGCUCAGGACAGGUGUAUUUGCAGGUUGAAGGGACCUUCUUGCCUGUACUGUUGUUGUGUGUUCACUUGCCUGUCGAUUCUGCAUUCUUAUCAGCUGCUAUAAAACACACAAGUUCUGAUCUGUAAUGUUUGUAUCUAUUUGGACAAGAGCCCUGAGGAUAGGAGGGCCUGUUGUGGGUUUGGUUGUUGUUGUUGGGUUUUUUUUUUUCACCUUACAGAUGCUUUGAAUUAAUUGCAACUGCCUAUGGAAAUAUGAUCCCCUAAGAAUGUAGAGAAAUGCAUUAUUGAUAAGUAUGUAUAAAAUACCUCUAGAUUCCCCUGCACUCUGUCUGCUAGAAAUUUCACAUCAUUAUUCCCAGACCAAAAUAUUACAAGGAAAGAAAGACUGAAGUGACUUGAGAGGAAAAUGGCAUUUCCAAACCAAGCAUUGCAACGCAGGCAAUUCAGUUAAACAGAAGAAAAUCCAAAUGGCUUCCUAGAUACAAUUAAAACACCUCAACAGCUUACUCCCUUUUUGAUGCCAUGUGAUAACUGCAGGAUGUGAUAGAGGUAAACAAUUUUUCAGUUUCAUAUUAAAUUAUAUAGAUAUGAUCAAAAAACACUUUUGGCUUUAGAAGUAUCCACAGUAUCAGUUCAGCUUCUUUGUGGACUAUAAAUGUACAUCUGGUCCGUGCUUUCAGCUGCAUGACUGUAAUGUAACCAAAAGUUCUGAAAGUUGAAUGAUUUCUGACCAACAAAAAGGGGGAAACAAAUUCUGGAAUGGGAACUGCAGUGGAGGCAAUGGGUUUCCCAGGUCUCAGGCCAAGAGCUGCUUGUUGUGGGUUUUCUAGAUCCUGUUAAACUCCUCCUUGUGUUUGAAUUUGUCCUAACGAACACAACAUUAAAAAUGAGCAGGAAUUCAAAAUAUGGCACCUUGUGUGCCUGAAACCUUGGGAUUUUUUUUUUCCUAACUACAUUUGAUACUCUUUCUGCUACAGGUCUUGGUCUCAAAGUUUAGCAGGGAAUUGUAGCCACAAGCUUAUUUGCAACAGUAGACCCCGUUGGUAGGUAGCCAUGCACAGCCAAUGAACUGGCAUCAGUGGGAAAUGCUAAAUUGGAAAACGCUCUUACAGUGGUGGUGGUGGUGGGAAUAUUGAUAGACCAUAGGAUUGCCACUGUGCUGUUCACUUAUACUCCAUAUUUCACAGAGAUUGUGCAGAAGUGAAUGUACAGUCAAAAUAUUUCACUGAGCCCUUAUACUUAGUGAAACGUUCAACAGAAAAGCCUUUUUUCAUACUCACCCAUUUCUGUUUCUUCUGCCUCCUAUGCUCAUUCAAAGCCCGUCUCCAGUGGCACAACAGCCACAGCAAACCAGCCACCCCUCCGACCUGCAGGCAGUAAGUGACGGGCAUCCCUGUGGAGCUGAUGGCUGUGGACUGACGCCUGGUGUACCAAGCAGGUUAGCUCUCAUCACUGCAGAUACAGCUACAGGGACGUAUCAUUUGGCUGAAGUGUUCUCGCCUGCUGGACUGCCAGAGCCUUUCAGGGUACAUUUCUGGUGGUGGGAAAGAAGGGGAGAGCAUGAAGAGCUCUGCCAGAGCAGUUUCCCCAAACCCUGCAGUGGCAGUUUCAGAGGACUGCCAGCUCAGCUGUCUGCCUCCUGCAGGGGGGUGCCAGCCCACGGCUGCUCCCAUCGCUCUCCUGACUGCAGACCGCCCCCCCCCCCCCCCCCCCCCAUACAGCCGGGGCUCCUUAUGACACCCGCACAUCAAAAACAAGAGGAAAAUUCAGUGCCUGGAAAAGCCCGUCUCCCUGAAUGCAGGGCACAAGCACUUGGUUGUCUUCUAGCAAAUGUAUCCCUGCAUUCACCUGGUUGUGACAGUCGAUUUGGGUUAGAAAUAACCAGAGCUUUUUUGGGGCUGUGGAAGGGCAGGGUUCACCUCUGAGUUGUUGCAAGGCUCCAUAAACAAUUUACCAAGAACAACUGGAGGAGGGCACAGGCUGCGAAUAAGCAGCUGGGGGCUGUUAAGGUGGCGUUGCCAGUGAAUGGCACCGCUUCCCUGCCCUUUCACUGAAACAGAGCUCGAGCAUUCGGAUAAUCAGUCACAAGGUCUGAGACACGGGAACGGUACCAAGGAGGUGGGCCAGCACCUGCUGCAAGCGUCCCAGGCUGGAGCCACGGAGAAGGACACCUGCCUGCCCUGGGAGCGGGGCAGCAAGAACCCUCCCGUGUGUCUGUGAACGGGUAUUUUUGAGAAGCCUGUAACUCUGAGUGGCAUUUUGAAUGAAUUUUCACCAGACAGCCAAAAAACCUCCUGCUGUCAGAUGUGCCCACGUACCAAGUCCUUGUCGCAACACACAGAGCUACUACAGUUCCUCAGCAAAAUGCUUGCAAAAAUAUUUUUAAGAUGUCAAAACCAUCAACCUUUUCCCUGAGCUGCGUUCAACAAACUAGUUUGAUCUGAAACUUUUCACUUGGAAGCACACAACAGUUUUGGAGAUUUCAACCCCCAGAAUGAAAACUUAGCACAGUUAAUGGCAUCUGAAAUUCCUGAAGGCAAAUGCUAGGCUGCAUGGUUCUUUUGCCUAAAAGUCACCAUGUCUCGCCUUUCCUCUUUUCUUGUAUCGAACCCUAAGCCAUCACCUUUUUUCAGUAACACUCGGGCCAGUAUACAACACUAAAGCAUAUAGAAACGACUGAUAUGAAAGGGCUGAAUAAAGGCAUUUAAAAAAUAAACCAGAAAUAAAUAAUGUCUUAAGAAUAACUGUUUUGUUUGCUCGCUGUUAGACAUCUGUUCACAGACACCGCAAAUGAGCCACAUUGUGUUUG